CUCAGGACGAACGCUGGCGGCGUGCCUAAUACAUGCAAGUCGAGCGGACUAGAUGAGGCGCUUGCUAAUCUGAGGGUUAGCGGCGGACGGGUGAGUAACACGUAGGCAACCUGCCCUCAAGACUGGGAUAACUACCGGAAACGGUAGCUAAUACCGGAUAAUUAAAUUCGCUGCAUGGCGGAGUUAUGAAAGGCGGAGCAAUCUGUCACUUGAGGAUGGGCCUGCGGCGCAUUAGCUAGUUGGUGAGGUAACGGCUCACCAAGGCGACGAUGCGUAGCCGACCUGAGAGGGUGAACGGCCACACUGGGACUGAGACACGGCCCAGACUCCUACGGGAGGCAGCAGUAGGGAAUCUUCCGCAAUGGGCGAAAGCCUGACGGAGCAACGCCGCGUGAGUGAUGAAGGUUUUCGGAUCGUAAAGCUCUGUUGCCAGGGAAGAACGUCUCAUAGAGUAACUGCUAUGAGAGGACGGACCUGAGAAGAA
RNAcentral lists this ribosomal RNA (484 nucleotides) under Paenibacillus sp. B2-228. Its description in RNAcentral is "bacterial SSU rRNA". It matches the Rfam family "Bacterial small subunit ribosomal RNA", at positions 23 to 488 of the family's 1533-position model. The record is from RNAcentral. Lineage: Bacteria; Bacillati; Bacillota; Bacilli; Caryophanales; Paenibacillaceae.